GAAUGGUCAUUUCCACCGAAGGCGUCCUCUAUGUACAUAGUCCACCCUGACUCACAACUGUUGUAUUCCUCCUCCUCCUCAGAGCCUCCAUGAUCCCUUGGAGAUUCCAUGGCUUUGUUCUAGGCAAAGAAGAACACAAAAAUAAAGUUUUAGGAAAAGCAGGAGCCUAUAAGAAGCCUCAUAUAAUUGAAGAGCAGGAGUAAGUUUCACCACAUGGCAACCCUAGCACCAUUGUUUUCACUCACUUGAAGCACUACAUGACAAAGCCAACUGCAGAUAUAUAUAUAUAUAUCAAGGAAGGUAGCAAAGGUUUAAAUUUGGAAAAGUCACAGAUAUUGAAAGCAUCAUAAUCAGAUAUCCACUGGAAGUAAUUGAUAACUUUGGUUGGCAAGUCAGUGAGAAAAGGGACGGGACUCUGUGUUGUUUGCCUCUUAUGGCAUGUUGGAGCAGCUAGUUGUGAAGUAUAUGUUGUUGUUAUAUCUUAUAACCAUAUAUACCGUUAUAUUUUACCAAAGAAAAAUUCUCAACACUGAUAUUUGUAAUUUGUUUCAGUACUUAUAUACGUCGAAUAUUUAGG
Molecule: long non-coding RNA, 577 nt
Organism: Brassica oleracea var. oleracea
Lineage: Eukaryota; Viridiplantae; Streptophyta; Magnoliopsida; Brassicales; Brassicaceae
Exons: 3
Source: RefSeq, a predicted model, not a curated record